AAGUCGUAACAAGGUUUCCGUAGGUGAACCUGCGGAAGGAUCAUUAUCGAAAUUUCAAGUACUAGAUUGUAGCUGGCCUUGAUCAUCGAGAGAUGGGCAUGUGCACAUCUAUUAUCUUUUUCACACACACACACCCCCGUGAACCUAUUGUAGAUCGAGAGAUCUAUGUCUUUAUAACACAUCGUCGUCGUAUGUCUAUAGAAUGUCUACUAUCUUAUUACAACUUUCAGCAAUGGAUCUCUUGGUUCUC
RNAcentral lists this unclassified non-coding RNA (250 nucleotides) under fungal sp. RNAcentral describes it as "partial internal transcribed spacer region". The stretch from base 1 to 46 matches the Rfam family "Eukaryotic small subunit ribosomal RNA", at positions 1786 to 1831 of the family's 1831-position model. Lineage: Eukaryota; Fungi. The record is from RNAcentral.